This is a long non-coding RNA of Papaver somniferum (opium poppy), 1321 nucleotides long. RefSeq lists it as uncharacterized. The transcript is spliced from 2 exons. Lineage: Eukaryota; Viridiplantae; Streptophyta; Magnoliopsida; Ranunculales; Papaveraceae. The record is from RefSeq and is a predicted model, not a curated record.
AUUCAAUAAAAUUAGCUACGUUUUUAACUGUUGCUUAAUUGCGGGAGUUCACUGUUAUGGGUCGUUAGCUAAAGUUUAGGAACUUUGUGAAGUUGUGGGAAUGCCCACGAACUGUUUGCUUUAUGUUAUAUAAAUAAGCUUGAGUCCAUUAGCUGAAGUUUAUUUCUCUUACCUCUGCAGUUCUAUUAACAUAAGGAUCCGUAGAGAGUUGAAGAGUGAGAUAGAAAAUGGAUGAAUUUUCUGGUUAUGGUGGUGAGUUUGUGAGGUUCAUAAACGUCUGGAGUACAGCUUUUCUGUCAUUAAUUUACUGUUAUUAGAUCGCUCGAAAUAUUCCGAAAGGAUUUCCAAGACUUUUAUCUGUCUUACCAAUUGUAUACAUUUUUAGCCUUCUUCCUCUCAAUCUCACUUCUAUUCAUCUUAUUUUGGGAGCUGGGUAUUCCAUAAGUUGGCUUGCUAACUUCAAACUUCUUCUGUUCUGUUUUGAUGCGGGUCCUCUUUCAUCGAAUCCAUUACAGUUGUACCAUCACUAACGUCGUCCAUUACCCUUCUCCCUUUUCUUGCCAUCACUUGUCUACCAAUCAAGCUUAAAAAAUCGAAUCCCUCUUCGUCUCCGUCUCCGUCUUCAUCAUCAUCAUCAUCGAGUCUUCAUAUACAUGGACUGACUUGUUAUGUAAUGGAAGGUUUUUUCCUAGGCUUAAUACUUAUCUAUGGGUAUAGCGAACAGUAUCAUCACAAACAAAAAUUACUAAACUUUAUGAUCAUCAACUUUUCGCAUUUCUUUCAUAUAGGUAUAAUAGUCGAGUUACCUCUCGUCAUAUAUGCUUCCGCAGCAAGGCUUCUGCUCGACCUAGAGGUUGAACCACCAUUUGGGAACCUUUUGGUGUUAUCAUCUUCAUUUCAUGAGUUUUGGGGGAGGAAAUGGAACAAAGUUACUUCAAGUCUUUUACGACCGCUCGUAUAAGAACCUGUACGACGUAUUACUAAACAAGGGGGUUGGUACGUCUGUUGAGAUUUAGUGGAAGAGGUCUUUGAAUGGGAAGUGACAGUUCAAUCGGUUGGCUUCGCAACUUAUCCUUCCUAUAAGUUUUAUAUCGUUAUUUUUUUACUUGAUACACCCUUCGCUUGAGAAGGUUAGGGUUCACCUCAUGGUAGGUGAGGAGAUUGCUAAUCUCACCAAGCUUCUUAAGGAUGUACUAGCGAGCUGAAUUCUCGUGCUGAUUACAUGGCGUUUGCUGGCCAUUCAUCUAUCAACAAUAUCCUUUCCUGUUACACAACUAAUAGACGUUUUCGUCAAGUGAAGUCCUUGGUUAUUAUUGAUAUA